CUGAGAAUCAACAACGCCAGACCACUCCGAACAAACUCUCUAGUCGAAGACAUGGACGGUUUGCUUGGGAAAUACCUCUUCAUGGUGGUUGCUGCCACAUUCGCUACACUACUGAUGGCCCCAAAAGAAUCCGUGGCAGUUCCCAGCUUUGUCGUGGACACUCUUCAAAAGGAGUUAGGACGACAUGAAGAAAAUGUCGAGUAGCGACGCAUCAGUCUUGGUGAUACAAUGUGGGCGAUCUGCGUUCAACUGAAGACGC
Dermacentor andersoni is the source of this 259-nucleotide non-coding RNA. Lineage: Eukaryota; Metazoa; Arthropoda; Arachnida; Ixodida; Ixodidae. The record is from RefSeq and is a predicted model, not a curated record.